GCCGGGUGUGUUGGCACGCGCCUGUAGUCCCAGCUACUCGGGAGGCUGAGGCAUGAGAAUCGCUUGAGCCUGGGAGGCAGGGGUUGCAGUGAGCUGAGAUCGCACCACUGCACUCCAGCUUGGGCUACAGAGUGAGACUCUGUCUCAA
Molecule: non-coding RNA, 148 nt
Organism: Papio anubis (olive baboon)
Lineage: Eukaryota; Metazoa; Chordata; Mammalia; Primates; Cercopithecidae
Source: Rfam